CCUACGGGAGGCAGCAGUGGGGAAUUUUGGACAAUGGGCGCAAGCCUGAUCCAGCCAUGCCGCGUGCGGGAAGAAGGCCUUCGGGUUGUAAACCGCUUUUGUCAGGGAAGAAAUCCUUUGGGUUAAUACCUCGGAGGGAUGACGGUACCUGAAGAAUAAGCACCGGCUAACUACGUGCCAGCAGCCGCGGUAAUACGUAGGGUGCGAGCGUUAAUCGGAAUUACUGGGCGUAAAGCGUGCGCAGGCGGUUAUGCAAGACAGAUGUGAAAUCCCCGGGCUCAACCUGGGAACUGCAUUUGUGACUGCAUAGCUAGAGUACGGUAGAGGGGGAUGGAAUUCCGCGUGUAGCAGUGAAAUGCGUAGAUAUGCGGAGGAACACCGAUGGCGAAGGCAAUCCCCUGGACCUGUACUGACGCUCAUGCACGAAAGCGUGGGGAGCAAACAGGAUUAGAUACCCUGGUAGUCCACGCCCUAAACGAUGUCAACUGGUUGUUGGACGGCUUGCUGUUCAGUAACGAAGCUAACGCGUGAAGUUGACCGCCUGGGGAGUAACGGCCGCAAGGUUGAAACUUCAAAGGAAUUGACGGCUGAGAGNGCGAGACGACGACGAGGGAGGAGG
RNAcentral lists this ribosomal RNA (619 nucleotides) under uncultured bacterium. RNAcentral's name for it is "bacterial SSU rRNA". It matches the Rfam family "Bacterial small subunit ribosomal RNA", at positions 338 to 948 of the family's 1533-position model. The record is from RNAcentral.